RNAcentral lists this ribosomal RNA (1369 nucleotides) under uncultured bacterium. Its description in RNAcentral is "bacterial SSU rRNA". It matches the Rfam family "Bacterial small subunit ribosomal RNA", at positions 28 to 1381 of the family's 1533-position model. The record is from RNAcentral.
GACGAACGCUGGCGGCGUGCCUAAUACAUGCAAGUAGAACGCUGAAGAGAGGAGCUUGCUCUUCUUGGAUGAGUUGCGAACGGGUGAGUAACGCGUAGGUAACCUGCCUUGUAGCGGGGGAUAACUAUUGGAAACGAUAGCUAAUACCGCAUAACAAUGGAUGACCCAUGUCAUUUAUUUGAAAGGGGCAAAUGCUCCACUACAAGAUGGACCUGCGUUGUAUCAGCUAGUAGGUGAGGUAACGGCUCACCUAGGCGACGAUACAUAGCCGACCUGAGAGGGUGAUCGGCCACACUGGGACUGAGACACGGCCCAGACUCCUACGGGAGGCAGCAGUAGGGAAUCUUCGGCAAUGGGGGCAACCCUGACCGAGCAACGCCGCGUGAGUGAAGAAGGUUUUCGGAUCGUAAAGCUCUGUUGUAAGUCAAGAACGAGUGUGAGAGUGGAAAGUUCACACUGUGACGGUAGCUUACCAGAAAGGGACGGCUAACUACGUGCCAGCAGCCGCGGUAAUACGUAGGUCCCGAGCGUUGUCCGGAUUUAUUGGGCGUAAAGCGAGCGCAGGCGGUUUGAUAAGUCUGAAGUUAAAGGCUGUGGCUCAACCAUAGUUCGCUUUGGAAACUGUCAAACUUGAGUGCAGAAGGGGAGAGUGGAAUUCCAUGUGUAGCGGUGAAAUGCGUAGAUAUAUGGAGGAACACCGGUGGCGAAAGCGGCUCUCUGGUCUGUAACUGACGCUGAGGCUCGAAAGCGUGGGGAGCGAACAGGAUUAGAUACCCUGGUAGUCCACGCCGUAAACGAUGAGUGCUAGGUGUUGGAUCCUUUCCGGGAUUCAGUGCCGCAGCUAACGCAUUAAGCACUCCGCCUGGGGAGUACGACCGCAAGGUUGAAACUCAAAGGAAUUGACGGGGGCCCGCACAAGCGGUGGAGCAUGUGGUUUAAUUCGAAGCAACGCGAAGAACCUUACCAGGUCUUGACAUCCCGAUGCUAUUUCUAGAGAUAGAAAGUUACUUCGGUACAUCGGUGACAGGUGGUGCAUGGUUGUCGUCAGCUCGUGUCGUGAGAUGUUGGGUUAAGUCCCGCAACGAGCGCAACCCCUAUUGUUAGUUGCCAUCAUUCAGUUGGGCACUCUAGCGAGACUGCCGGUAAUAAACCGGAGGAAGGUGGGGAUGACGUCAAAUCAUCAUGCCCCUUAUGACCUGGGCUACACACGUGCUACAAUGGUUGGUACAACGAGUUGCGAGUCGGUGACGGCAAGCUAAUCUCUUAAAGCCAAUCUCAGUUCGGAUUGUAGGCUGCAACUCGCCUACAUGAAGUCGGAAUCGCUAGUAAUCGCGGAUCAGCACGCCGCGGUGAAUACGUUCCCGGGCCU